CGGACGGGUGAGUAAAGAGUGAGAAUCUGCCUUUUGGACCGGGACAACCACUGGAAACGGUGGCUAAGACCGGAUGUGCCCUUGGGUGAAAUAUUCAUAGCCAAAAGAGGAGCUCGCGACCGAUUAGCUAGUUGGUGGGGUAAGAGCCUACCAAGGCUGCGAUCGGUAGCCGGUUUGAGAGGACGACCGGCCACACUGGGACUGAGACACGGCCCAGACUCCUACGGGAGGCAGCAGUGGGGAAUUUUCCGCAAUGGGCGAAAGCCUGACGGAGCAAUACCGCGUGAGGGAGGAAGGCUCUUGGGUUGUAAACCUCUUUUCUCAGGGAAGAAACAAAUGACGGUACCUGAGGAAUCAGCAUCGGCUAACUCCGUGCCAGCAGCCGCGGUAAUACGGAGGAUGCAAGCGUUAUCCGGAAUGAUUGGGCGUAAAGCGUCCGCAGGUGGCACUUCAAGUCUGCUGUCAAAGCACAGAGCUUAACUCUGGACCGGCAGUGGAAACUGGAGAGCUAGAGAGCAAUAGGGGUAGAGGGAAUUCCCGGUGUAGCGGUGAAAUGCGUAGAGAUCGGGAAGAACACCAGUGGCGAAAGCGCUCUACUAGGU
RNAcentral lists this ribosomal RNA (602 nucleotides) under Chroococcidiopsis thermalis CCALA 050. RNAcentral describes it as "bacterial SSU rRNA". It matches the Rfam family "Bacterial small subunit ribosomal RNA", at positions 99 to 734 of the family's 1533-position model. The record is from RNAcentral. Lineage: Bacteria; Bacillati; Cyanobacteriota; Cyanophyceae; Chroococcidiopsidales; Chroococcidiopsidaceae.